This is a non-coding RNA of Schistosoma mattheei, 45 nucleotides long. The record is from Rfam. NCBI's taxonomy places the organism in Eukaryota, Metazoa, Platyhelminthes, Trematoda, Strigeidida, Schistosomatidae.
AUCCAGUUGAUGAGUCCCAAAUAGAACGGAACACGCGUCCUGGAU